Long non-coding RNA from Microtus oregoni (creeping vole), 1814 nucleotides. RefSeq lists it as uncharacterized. Lineage: Eukaryota; Metazoa; Chordata; Mammalia; Rodentia; Cricetidae. The transcript is spliced from 3 exons. The record is from RefSeq and is a predicted model, not a curated record.
GCAAGAGGCUUCCAGCCUCAGAGCUAAGCAUGGUGGGACAGGGGCUUAGCAUGGUGGAACAGGGGCUUCUAGCCUCAAAGCUUAGCAUGGUGGGACAGGGGCUUUCAGCCUCAGAGCUUAGCAUGGUGGGACAGGGGCUUCCAGCCUCAGAGCUUAGCAUGGUGGAACAGGGGCUUCUAGCCUCAAAGCUUAGCAUGGUGGGACAGGGGCUUCCAGCCUCGGAGCUUAGCAUGGUGGGACAGGGGCUUCUGGUCUCAGAGCUUAGCAUGGUGGGACAGUGGCUUCCAGUCUCAGGGAUUGGCAAGGAGGUACAGUGGCUUCUGGUCUCAGUGUUCACUCUGGAAUCCUUUCUAAUCCUCCUCUUCCCUUUGGCUGCCUCAAACAAAUCGAAAUGUACUCACUGACCACUGGGUCUUUGUCAUACAAGUAAAGUUUGGAGCCAAAAAACCAAAUGGUCACGAGUGAGCUUCUGUCCCCUUCAGUCCCUGUAACCUCCGACCUCCCUCUGUUACCCAUACAUGUCCCUGUACUUUGCUGUUAUCUGUCCUCUUGCCAUGGAAUGUUCAUCAGUGGAGUCCCUGCCAGUCUGAAGUGGACCCUGAAUUAUUCAUUGAGUAGGUGGAUUAUUCAUUGUGUGUGGGAGUCUGCUGAGUUCCACUGUAGUGGUGACAGGCAUGGAAAGGUGAAAUAAGUCUCAGAAACACUCCUGCAUGGUUUUCCAUCUUCCUCCUCCUCGCCCUGCCUCCUGCGUCCCCAGCAGCACUUGGUUUGAAUAGAGAGGUAACCGGUGCACCUGCGAGGCUCAGAGUGAGCGGAGCAAUGCUCAAUUAAGAGUUCUUCUGGACCUCUGAUGGAGGUAACAGUCACAAGUGGUGCGGUGGACUGACCUGGAGGCCCUGGAACUCACCUCUUCUCUGCCGCUAACAAACUCCGUGGCCUUCCUCAUUUCUCUGUGCUCCGAGUUUAAGAUUCCUUAUUGCAUGUCUGCUCCACUAAUAAGGAGGUAACCAAAUUAUAGAGCAUAUACAUCCUCAUCCCCCAGGUCAUGAGUCUGCAUGGCAGUACAAGAACAUAGGAUUUGCUGACUGUUUAGAAGAUCACUCACUUUGGUACGAUCCUGACCUUGUCUAAUAGAAGGGAAAGUGUCCAGGAAGAAAGUCUAUGUGACAUGGCCGGGCAAUCAGGUGGACAGCCACUUGCUUUCUCCUUGUGACAUGGCCAAGCAGUGAACACAGUUUGCUGCGCUGUUCUGACAAUGGCCCUUUAUCCCCAGAGCCAUCAGGGGCUAACUGCAGGAAACCUGAAGGAAGGGUUAGCGAGGAAAGAGGUAACCAAUGGACCCCUUCUUUCUGAGGCCCAAGAGGAAAACAGCCAUCAUGUAUUACUCUAAUGGGGCCUGUCAACCUGUAAAUAAAUCAUACUAGUGAGAUUUCAGAGGAGGUGACAGGCAGGUACAGAAGGACCGUUUUCACUGAAAGGGCAGCCACCCACUCCAAAGAGGGAUCCAGACAGAUCUCUGCCCAGGAAGUGAAAGCAUCAGAUUCCUGGAUAGAGAAGGUCGAUGAACUGAGGGUGCAGGCUGAGGGGUGCCACGUAGAACCCAGGCUCCAGACGCUGCAGGAAGAACUGGAACGUGGACAGGUCACAGGGAGACUUGUCCUUUCACAAGGCAAGGCCUUGUUGUUUAUGGAAUGAGGCGCAGGAUAAAGGAAAGAACCUGCCCUGUGUCCGCUUUCUCUCCAAGUUCAUUUACACCCCCACCCCAGCAACAGAGAGAUAAAAUAACAAUCCAGAUAGUAACUGAUGAAAGUCUA